Molecule: unclassified non-coding RNA, 374 nt
Filed under: soil metagenome
Description: partial internal transcribed spacer 1
Rfam family: 5.8S ribosomal RNA (bases 1-120)
Source: RNAcentral
GAUGAAGAACGUAGCGAAAUGCGAUAAUUAAUGUGAAUUGCAGAAUUCCGUGAAUCAUCGAGUCUUUGAACGCACAUUGCGCCUCAUGGCAUUCCGUGAGGCAUGCCCAUCUCAGCGUUAGAAAAUAUUCUCAAAUUUUAGUUUUGUGCUAAAAUUUGGAUCAUGUCAAGGAAGCUAUUACUAUUAUUGUGAUUGCUCUUUGGAAAUUGAUAGGUCUUUGAGUUGCUACUCAUAGAACGUGAUGAAUCUUUCUUCGUUCUAUUGUAAUUCACUCUGGUAGUCCUAAAAGUUGUAUGCCUGUGGCAUAUCUUGUAAUUUGUCCUGAGAUUGGGUAGGGAUACCCGCUGAACUUAAGCAUAUCAAUAAGCGGAGGA